CUCCGUGUCUGGUCGCAAUUACAAAGCAUUUAAAAACAAUAACAAUAAAGUUUUAAGUAUCAGGCGUGACAUUAAAAGCAGACGCUUUAAUGCUCCACCUGAGAGUAAAUCUGUAAGGCUUGUUACCAGCAUUCAGACAUCAAUUCUGCUUGCUUCACAGCCAGACAGGACACGGUAAAUAAAAAUAAAUAAAUAAAUAAAUUAGAUUACUGCCCCAGACUGCAGCCAGCAACAGACCAGACCGCGUGAAUCCAGAAACCAACAGUCUUAUCUUCUUUAUUCCUGUUUGCUGUGGCCCUCUCCAUCCUCACUGGCUGAGCUGCAGAUAUCUGCAUUUUUCUGACUAGCUGGCUUCACUUAUGACUGCAGACAAAAAAAGAGUAAAACAUAAAACUACUGGUUAAAAGUAUUGAUUUUCUAUCAUUUAGAAGUUUUGCUUUAGCAUUUUUAAUUAUUAUGACAUGAGUUGUAAUUUUAACACCAUGUAUUUAAUUGAAAUAGGAGAAAUAUCAGAUGUUUAAUAAAUCACAAACAUUUGGAAUGUUUUAAUAAACUGUAAAGCCUUAGUUUAUAAAUAAAAAAUGUUUAUUUAGAUGUUGAGGACGACACAAAUCAUUGAUGAUGUGUAACUAAACUUCAUUUUUUGAUUCAACAAACAAGUACAAAGUCUCAAGUCCUUUUACCUUGUAGUAUCACAGUAAUAUUUGAGCACGGCAAACAAAAGAUGUAUUUAAGGCUUGAGUCACAAAGAAAGCACAAAGCUGACCUGCAGAGCCUGACAGGAAAUGGAUGUAACAGUGAUUUUUACACUGUUGUUAAUCUGCUCUCUUACUGAGGCUCAGCUUCAACAACAACCUGAUCCUAACUCAAAUUCAUAUUUGAAGCCAGCAGGUUCCCAUGUAGAAGCAGGAAAUCCCUCAGAGCACCAACAAACAUGUACACAGGACAUCAAUGCUGUACUGAGAGAGAUGAGUGCCUCGCUGGCUGGACUGAAGGUGGAGGUGAAGUACUUACAGAAAGAAAAUGAAGCUAAAACACGAGAACUGGAGCUGCAGAAGCAACAGGACCAAGCAAAUAAAAAAGAACUGGAGCUGCUGAAACAACAGGACCAAGCUAAAACACGAGAACUGGAGCUGCUGAAACAACAGGACCAAGGUAUUGGAAACGAUGAAAAAAAAACAGUAGAUGUAAAAGUUACAAAUCAGAAAUAAGAAGGGCCUUUUUACUUGUAAGUGCUACUUUUGGUUACUGUUUAAAAACCAGUUAAUUGUUUUCUUAAUUUU
Molecule: long non-coding RNA, 1283 nt
Filed under: Nothobranchius furzeri (turquoise killifish)
Lineage: Eukaryota; Metazoa; Chordata; Actinopteri; Cyprinodontiformes; Nothobranchiidae
Description: lncRNA (ENSNFUG00015008941.1)
Source: RNAcentral